CCAACGGGCGGCAGCAGUGAGGAAUUUUGCGCAAUGGGAGCAAUCCUGACGCAGCAACGCCGCGUGGGUGAUGAAGGCCUUCGGGUCGUAAAGCCCUGUCAGGUGGGAAGAAUGUCCUGGAAUUGAACAGGUUUCGGGAGUGACGGUACCACCAGAGGAAGCACCGGCUAACUCCGUGCCAGCAGCCGCGGUAAUACGGAGGGUGCAAGCGUUAUUCGGAAUUACUGGGCGUAAAGCGCGUGUAGGCGGUCCUGCAAGUCUGAUGGGAAAGCCCCGGGCUUAACCCGGGAAGUGCAUUGGAAACUGCAGGUCUUGAGUACUGGAGAGGAUGGGGGAAUUCCCGGUGUAGAGGUGAAAUUCGUAGAGAUCGGGAGGAAUAUCAGUGGCGAAGGCGCCCAUCUGGACGGUAACUGACGCUGAGACGCGAAAGCGUGGGGAGCAAACA
Molecule: ribosomal RNA, 445 nt
Filed under: uncultured prokaryote
Description: bacterial SSU rRNA
Rfam family: Bacterial small subunit ribosomal RNA
Source: RNAcentral